Molecule: long non-coding RNA, 1753 nt
Filed under: Sparus aurata (gilthead seabream)
Lineage: Eukaryota; Metazoa; Chordata; Actinopteri; Spariformes; Sparidae
Description: lncRNA (ENSSAUG00010006063.1)
Source: RNAcentral
GGCUGGUGUGAAAUACUCGCUCGCAUAUCCUGCAACGCUCUGGCUCACACUUAAUAGGUCUAAACACGAGUUCAAGUCACCGUGUGGGUUCCCAGAUAGCAAAUCAUUUUGGCUCUUUUGUGGCAUAUAUCUGGCCUCUUUGGGGUUGUUUUGGCAAAGGAUUAUAUUUGUGGGUCAGGUUUGGUUUUGUUAUGAUCUGCCAUAAUAAAUAAAUGGCGCAAUGUUAUUUUGGCCGAGUUUUGGCUUAUAUCUGGUUAACCAGCCAAAAAGGCAAUGAGCGGGACCAUAAUGUUUUUGAGCGUGUUCGCAUUCAUGAUUUUACGGGAGCGCUUUGGCAUCCCUCUGGCUUGCCAAAAGUCUGCACAGAGACCGGCAACUUUUUAACGGUUACGAGAGAUCGCACUUCAUUUCUCGGCGUGAUCACUGGAGUUCAUUGUUUUUUCAGAGCAGCAGCAGAGCAGCAGCAUGGCAGAAACAGCAGCAGCCCAGCCUAUCAGUCCACCCUAUCAUGGGUACAUGAGAGGCUGCAACCAAAUGUGUGGAAGCAAGUUUGAAGGGUGCCUUCUUCCAACUGUUGUCUUGAGAUCUCUCCACAGGUUUUUUAUGAGACUUGAAUAGACUCAUUGAUGGCCACUUUAGGAUCAUAUCUGGUUACUUUUUACUUUUUGGUGUUUUAGGUCAUUGUCCUACUGAGAUGACUAAUAACCUUGCAUUAUACCCCUUGAUUUUUAUCAGUCUUUAGAUUUCAUAAUGCCAUGUACACAGACAAGGUCUCUGGUGAAAAAGGGUCCCAAUAUUUUCAUCCAUGAUUGUACAUGCCUUGAUAAUUUAAAACUACCCUUUUGAACUAGACGAUUCUUUUUUCAGCUCUUCUGAAAGAAGUUCUUGUCAAUCAACAAAUUCUGAUGGAUCAGCAAAAGAACAUAAUCCGAAUGAUCCAAGACAUGCAGAGAUCCACCAAUGCUGUCACAGGGAUUCCCACCACUAACAUAUUUCCCUUGAAUGAUAAGCCUGCCCUGUAUGCUCUUGAGAGGGAUCUAGGAAGUCAACCAGACCUCCGUAACAAACUGGUGAGCUGUUUUCUUUCUUAUCUUUCUGCUUUCUUCUUUUCUUUUUUAAAUUUAUGGUUAUGCCGAAUAGAUGAUGGAAAAUGGGACUCUUUUAUUUUGAAUUCCUAAUUUUGUUGUUUUUUUCUUUUUGUACUUUAGGUCAUCACUCUUGGAUUGGUGGGAGGGGCAACAGUUAAAGAAACUGUGUGGCGCAUUCUGAAGCAGGCAUCAAAAAUGAUCUUGCGAAGACCAUAUCAUGGCGCGGCCUGAAUGGGAAAGUGCUGUUUGAAAAGCUCCACCUCAGGGCAGUUGUGACAGGUAAGGAUUAUCCUGCACCCAUGUUGACUGAUUUUAUUGUAUUUAUUAUUAUUAUUGUUAUUGUUAUUAUAAUAUUAUUACCAGAUUAAGUUUUUCUGCUGAAUUGUUUUUCUUUUAUUUGUUAUGUCAUUUUCAGAUGCUGUCAGACGUAACCCUGUAUGCAUUGAAGCCACUGAUCUGAGCAUCGCUGAUGCAAUUAAACGGUGGUUCUACUGGGCAGGGGAUAGGGAGGGGGGGGAGGAAAAAUCGGCUGCCAGGCGCCAGCCGGCCGACAGUAUAAAUUUGUGUUAAAAAAAACAAAUGUCUUAAAAUUAAUUGAUGAGCAAGAGACACCAGAAUAACCAGUUUCGUUUUUUAUACAUACAGUUAUAACACAUAAAUAGCAC